CUUUCGCAUGAAAGAAGUUUUAAAAGGCGGCGUAAAGCUGUCGCUAAAAGGGAUGGACCUGCGAUGCAUUAGCUAGUUGGUAAGGUAACGGGCUUACCAAGGCGAUGAUGCAUAGCCCGAGUUGAGAGACUGAUCGGCCACAUUGGGGACUGAGACACGGGCCCAAACUCCUACGGGAGGCAGCAGUAGGGAAUCUUCCACAAUGGACGAAAGUCUGAUGGAGCAAACGCCGCGUGAGUGAAGAAGGUUUUCGGAUCGUAAAGCUCUGUUGUUGGUGAAGAAGGAUAGAGGUAGUAACUGGCCCUUUAUUUGACGGUAAUCAACCAGAAAGUCACGGGCUAACUACGUGCCAGCAGCCGCGGUAAAU
Molecule: ribosomal RNA, 367 nt
Filed under: uncultured Lactobacillus sp.
Lineage: Bacteria; Bacillati; Bacillota; Bacilli; Lactobacillales; Lactobacillaceae
Description: bacterial SSU rRNA
Rfam family: Bacterial small subunit ribosomal RNA
Source: RNAcentral